This 5046-nucleotide long non-coding RNA is filed under the name Homo sapiens (human). RNAcentral's name for it is "HSALNT0349329". Lineage: Eukaryota; Metazoa; Chordata; Mammalia; Primates; Hominidae. The record is from RNAcentral.
CCAAAAUUUGCUCAUUUAUUUUCUUUACAUUAAGAUCUCUGGUUCUUACCAGUGGGUCAUUUCAAACUCUAUCUCUGCUUCCCCCAGCUAGGGAUAGAAAGCCACUAUUACAGACAGGGGCUGCAUCCUUCAGGUGCUUUCUGCAGAAAUGAGCUCAAUAACCACUGAAGACAGAUGUUAAUGAUGUCUGUUUUAAGGCAAAUUAUUUGGAGACGAGGGUAACCAAGUGGAGCUGAAUGACACUGGAUGGUAAUAACUUAAUUUGCCUCAGUGACAGUUCAUCAGGUCCUUUCACUUCCAUUUUCUCAUCUGACCAUCAUGACCUUAUGGUGUAAGUAAAAAUGAUUACUUCCCUUUUUUCUUUUCUUCAGAGGGGAAAUCUGGGUUUGGAGCAGCUAUACCAUAUAUCUAAGGUCAAACACCUAAGAGGAACUUUUAACUUGGGUCAUUUAAGUGCAAGUGCCUUGUUUUCGCCAUUUUGCCAAGGACAUGGGGCUCAAGUUUGGGUGUGCACCUGGCUUGCAGCAGAACUGGCUGGGAUGGCUUCAUAACUUCCCUUCUAACAAUAUAACAAUAUGCUUCUGUAAAUUUUCACACUGAAUUGGACAAGAAUCAGAAUAUCCUGUUUUGAACAUCUGCACAGAUUGACAAACAAAAAUGGAACAUCAAGACUGACUGGAAAUGGUGAUGUGAAAUUCAUUAAAUGCUCUUGCAAUUGCCAGAGGUGCCAAGACUGAGGCUCAGAGAAAUGAAAUAACAUGCCAAAGGUCACAGUGUCUAGUGGAGCUGGGGCCAAAUUCAGAUUAAUAACACACAGGAAAAACCCUCAACUUCUUUCAUUCGCCUGUUGAGAUAAAGGGAAAGAGAGUCCCCAUCCAGGCCUGCAGGAGAGGGAGAACUGGUGGAUGCAAAUGAAAAAGCAGAGGCAUUCCUCAGCUCUUUUAUCCCAGAGAUUAUAGUGCUGGAGUUGGAAGAAGAUGGGAGAAACAUAUGAGGAGAGAAGGAAGUCGAGCUCAUACCAUGAUGAAGAAGAUAACUCCUGAAGAUUGGGAAGGGCACUGGCUGGCUCUCAAAGAUGGACAAAUGGCUUUACGACGCUUAAGGGGAUGCUCUGUGGAGUCUGCUUGGGUGCAAAUCACCACCAUGACACACUACCCAUGGUACCGUUUUUCAGCCCCAGCCAUCACUUCAUCCUUUGCUCUGUAGCUUUCUUCAUUUGUUGGGAGAGAGGCUAUUCUUUUACUUGAACUUAGUGGGAGCUCAUUUUGCAAAGAUACAUGCUUCACCAUCCCCUGAAAGAUUUAUAUAGAAGGACACUGUGGCAACAUGUGACCUUUUGAAACUGCUCCCUUGGAAGGAAUUCUAAUGUCCUCCUGUCUAUGUUACCUGCUGUGUACCUACCACUGGGGAAAGAUGCUGAAAAUUUAAUGAAUUGCAGAAAAGCUGUGCAAGCUUCUCUUUUGGAAGAACCUUGGAGAAGAGAGAGGCUGACAGAAAGAAAACUUUCAAAGAAAUUACACUGCCCUCAAGGGUGGCAUCUACAGAGGACAGUGACAGGGCCUUGGAGACGUAUGAUUUCUUCUGCUGCUCAUUUACCUAGGUCUGUUUUCACUCUGGUGACUGGCCACAAUCAUGGGAAAAGUGAAGAAAUCUGAUAACUAUCAAGGUACAAAUUGCUAGAGAAAGAAAAUCGGGACUCUUACAACUAAGGGCUAAUUGAUGUGGAGAUGGAAGGUUUGUGGUGCUAUGUUUUGCAUGUGCCUCUGUGUGUGUUUGUGUGUGUAUAUAUAGGAGGGUAGGAGGUAGAAGAAUUCACAGUACAACCUAAUAAUCUGGGCCAUGGACCCAGCCAAAGAAGCGGGGACAGGGGUUGAAUGGAGAAGCACAUGGGACCAGAUGUACAAUGUAUCUGGAAAACAGACACAUAUACCGCAUCCAGGGAAUAACUGCAAACAGUCAAAUAACAUAUUUUGUAUUCAACCACUGACACAGAAAUUCAUGCACAAUGUAUUUUAUUUUUUAGUGGAAGAGAGAGAACUAUGCCACCCCUUUAAGGUAUGAUGCCAUUCUUAGAAAUAAAUAUUCGUAUAGAGAAAACUAUCUGAAAGGAUAGAUGUCAAAAUGUUUACAUAAGAGAUUAUUUCCGGAUGUAAGAAUUAGAGGGGAAUUUUAUAUUUUUUAUUUUUUGUGUAUGUACAGUUUCUAAUUUUCCUACAUUUAGUAUGUAAAAAGGAAAAAAAAGUAGCACAUUUUUAGAAAAGAAUUCUAAAUUUCUUUUAUAAAUAUCACUAAGGAAACAGAUUUGAUUUGGGCAAAGGGAAGAAGAGAUUAGAAUAGGGGUUGGCAAACUACGACCCUCUGAGCUAAAUCUGGCCUGCCACCUGUUUUUGUAAAUAAAGUUUCAUUGGAAUACAACCACUUCUUUCAUUUAUAUACUACAAACAUGGAGUUUAGCAGUUGUGACAAAGACCCUACGACCUACAAAGCCAAAUGGCUCUCCUAUCUGGUCCUUUACAAAAAAAGUUUGCCUAAACCCAGUUUAGAAGAAUCCUCCUAAUAUGGUCUUACCUAUUUUACCUUACUAGUUGUGUGAGCUUAGGGAAGUCAUAACUUUCACACCUCAGGUUCCUCAUGUGUAAUGAGAUGGAUAACACAUCUUAGACAUUUUAUGAAAAUUAAAUGAUUUAAUACAUAAAUGGUGCUAAACACUGUGUUUGGCAUAUAGUAGAUGCUCAAUAAAUAUUAUGCUCCUACUUAUUUUCUACUUCCUUUAAAUAAAAUGCAUUAUUCUGAUUUCAUGGCAAAUCUAAUGAAACUGCCAUUUUUGCUAGUCAAAAUUGUUCAAUAUUGGCAAUUUUAUAUGGCUCAAUGUAAUCAUACUUUAGCCAUUUACUAUUCUCAUUGCUCUUGUUUAAGUUGUAAUUGCUGAGCUUGUAUCUAUCAAUGUCACCAAGGUAGUUUUAGGGUUAGCUAAAUUGCCACAAACGGCUGGAAACCAAAAUCUAUUAAUAGCAUUGUUCUAUCCAAAUGUGGACACUUUGGGUGUAUGAAACAAAACACUGUAUUUGUAUUUCACUUUGUUACUUGUGUAACACAGGGAAAUCUGCAUUCAAUGCACCUAUGGUGUGACAGAUUAGGGCCUCUUUCCUGCUGCCCUAAAUAGAAGCUUUUUAGAUAAAGGAUAUUUGCUUCCACCCUACAAAACAGCACCUGACUUAAAUUUCAGCAGACUCAGUGAGCUUUCACAGCACUGCGACAAUCACUCUUGGCACUGAGCAAAGUUCUGACACAGUCUACCACAACAUCCUGGGAAGAACUGCUGAAGGGAACAUGGGGCUCAGGAUGCUACAAAAUUUGGAGACUGUCAUUCAAUCGCACUUGAAGAUGAUAUUCUGGGGCUUAGUGCAGAUCCAAAAUAGGAGUUCUUUAAAAAAGUAAAAUGGGGUUUCUCCAAGAACAAGACAGGAAGACCGACUGGAACAUCAAUGGAAUGUAAGUGUAAGAAGUUGCAGAUAGGGAAGUAUAGGAUGAGCUUCAUGAAAAGGAGGCAAAAUCAGGAAACUGAAAGACUAAUCAAAGUAUUCUUAUCAACAGAAAUGAAGAAAGGCUUUUAGUUCAGUGCUAAGACUAUCAAAGGAAGAACAAACCCAAUUUAAUCCAAUCAACACUUAUUAAAUGCCUACUUUAUGCCAGGCACUGGGUUAACACAGCUAGAGAUAGUAAGAUAAAUCAGACACAAUUUCUACCUUAGAGAAGUUUCUGGGCUGGUGGGAGGGAGAUAAACAUGGAACCAAAUAACUUUAAUAUCGUGAUAAAUGUUAUAAUACUAACAAUAAUAGCUGUCAUUUAUUAAUUGUGUAAAAUGUAAAGCAAACACAGAAUGGAAAAAUUAGUUUUGCUUGGAGAGGUCCAGAGAGGGUAGGGAGGAGGGGAAUAAUUACAGUCAGCACCUGAAAAUGACCAAAAGUUCACGAAGCUAAUACUGAGGCAAGAAUGAGAGUGAUGUGCUGUGGUUUCAGGACAGGAUGGAUUGUUGUAAUGGUUAAAAUGAAGCUGACGAAAAACCUCAUAAGCCAAACUUAGGAAUUGUGACGUUAUUCAGUAGGCAUUAAUUCUCAAUAAGCAGGAAGCAGUUUGGUUCAGUCCGGUUUAAAAAAGACAAGAGAAUACUUUCCUAGAGAGCCAUGAGGCAGGAUCAUAGGAAGAAGAGAGACUAAAUGGUUCUGUCUGUGAAAAUUUAGACCAGAAAAGUGGCAGUAAGAAGAGAGAAGAGGAGAUGGAUACAGGAUGCAGCAUGUCUUCAAACUGAAAUGCAAAAGUGGAGGGAGACAUUCUGAAGACCCAGAGGAGAAACAGAUGAAAAGAACUGUGGUGUGGGAGGAGCAAGGGACGGUAGGCAAGGAGAAGACCACAGUUAGGUCACUGGCCUUGGGAAAGGGAACAUCUUUUUUUCCUCGACCAGCCUGGGCAACACGGUGAAAACCUGCCUCUACAAAUAAAAAUACAAAAAAAUUUGGCCAAGUGUGGUAGUGUGCGCCUGUAGUCCCAGGUACUCGGGAGGCUGUGUGUGGAGGCUCUGGGGCUUGUGCCCAGGGUAUCGAGGCUGCAGUGAGCCGUGAUGUCACAUGUCACGUCUCAUUAAAGGGUAUUGAAUGAUACCCAAGAGAGGAAAAAUCUGAUUUCCUUAGCCUGGCCCUCAAAGCAUUCUGUAAUGUAGCUCACAACCUAUUCUUCUGAUCCAUUUUCACCUCCUUUAUUCUUCCCUCCUGAGGGUAUAGAUACCCAAAUGUCUUCGGGACUCAGGCGGGUAACACACAAGGGGGUGAAGUGGCAGGGUCUGAGGCCCUGAAGUGGUGAGUCCAUGGCUCACAGGACGUUAUAUUUUCUUUUUAAAUUCACUGAGAGGCAAACAACAUAUAUACACACAGAGAUUUUAGAAGUUUAACGUUUAUCUUGAGAGGCUUUACCUUCUAAAAUUCUACACAGCAUCAAUCCAGCCUUCUCUAAGCAGACUUCCCAGUCAACCAGGCUUAUAGACAAGAGUUC